RNAcentral lists this ribosomal RNA (343 nucleotides) under uncultured bacterium. RNAcentral's name for it is "bacterial SSU rRNA". It matches the Rfam family "Bacterial small subunit ribosomal RNA", at positions 8 to 334 of the family's 1533-position model. The record is from RNAcentral.
AGGGUUUGAUUAUGGCUCAGGAUGAACGCUGGCGGCGUGCCUAACACAUGCAAGUCGAGCGAGAAGCUGAUGACUGAUUCUUCGGAUGAGAGAUUCAGUGGAAAGCGGCGGACGGGUGAGUAACGCGUAGGCAACCUGCCCUUUGCAGAGGGAUAGCCAUUGGAAACGAUGAUUAAAACCUCAUAAUACCUUUUUCCUGCAUAGGAGAGAGGUCAAAGAUUUAUCGGCAAAGGAUGGGCCUGCGUCUGAUUAGCUGGUUGGUGGGGUAACGGCUCACCAAGGCGACGAUCAGUAGCCGACCUGAGAGGGUGAUCGGCCACAUUGGAACUGAGACACGGUCCAA